This is a non-coding RNA of Myotis myotis, 1273 nucleotides long. Lineage: Eukaryota; Metazoa; Chordata; Mammalia; Chiroptera; Vespertilionidae. The record is from the annotation of a RefSeq genome assembly.
UUAACUGAUAUGCAGGUGUGUUGUCACAGCAGGAAGCCACGAGCUUGGCCUUGCCUGGAAUUAAGCUCUCUUUUGGAGCAUAUGUUUGAUGGAGAGUGUGAUGGGACUUCCUUCAGCCUGAAGCUUGGAUAAUUCAAGCCAGGUGUACCUGCUCCUAGGAAACAGAGAUGCUGUGAGGAUGGUCAUCUGCCACAAACCCUGCCUGGCCCAGCUGGGCACAUCCAGCAGCACUUGCUCAAAGGAAGAUGGACAGAGUAUCUAGACUCUAGACCAACUGAGCCUGUCCAGGAAGUACAGGUUGUAUGUGGAGCCUACCAGGACAACGACAUCAGAAUAGUGACAUCACAGACAAGCCCUCCACCCAGAGCAAAGUAAUACUCAAAGCCUCUGCUUUCUCAUCCCAAACACUAGAGCCCAGAUCUGGGAGAUGGCCAGUCUUGUCCUGCCUGAAUCUUCCAGUGGCAAUUGGCUCCUCUGCUGUGUGGCCCUCUUCCUUCUGGGGGCAGGUUCCGUGGCUGCUGGAGUCUCCCAGUUCCCAAGACACCUAAUCAAAGUCCAAGGGGGGCAGGCUGUUCUGAAGUGUCAUCCCAUCUCCGGACAUAAUACGGUGUACUGGUACCAGCAGGCUCUGAGCCAGAGCCCCGAGUUCCUCAUUAGUUUUUAUGAAGAGGAGGAGGGACAGAAAGGAAACAUCCCAGAUCGGUUCUCAGCAAAACAGUUCAAUAACUACAGCUCUGAGCUGGCCAUAAGCACCUUGCAGCUGGGAGACUCGGCUGUGUAUCUCUGUGCCAGCAGCUUAGACACAGCCCUGCAGGGUCAAUGGCUUUCUGUACUCAAACCUCCCUGCCUCAGCUGAGGAUGUCACAGGAAAGGGUGGGGGCCUUAGUGAGUUCCAGGGCUUCUAGUUCUUUCUUAAGACUCUCUCUGCUGAGCUCAGCCUGAGCUUCCCUGAGUGUCCUUCCAGCUCUGCCAGCACCUUGCAAUUCUUAGCACAUGGCAGGAACUCCUGCUGUGAUAGAGUGGGGUCCAUGUUGUGCGUGCUAAUUCACAGACGACAUUGUGUUCCACUUUACCGAGGAGGAAGCGCUCAUUAUACCAUUUUAUAGGCAGGAAGUUUCAGCCCUCGGACAUCUCAAAUAUUUCACAUAUGUCAACCCUACAUCUCCAGGCCUCCAAAGUCAACAUUGCCCAGAAUUCCAUGGUGCUGCCUGGGCCUGGUCCAUAAGAUAUAACAGAGCUCUGGCUCUCCCAUUUCAAGAGCAUUUGAGCUGGG